This 1581-nucleotide long non-coding RNA is filed under the name Homo sapiens (human). RNAcentral describes it as "HSALNT0137280". Lineage: Eukaryota; Metazoa; Chordata; Mammalia; Primates; Hominidae. The record is from RNAcentral.
GGCAGAGCCAAAACCGUAACAGCCAGAGCUAGAGACUCCGGCCUGGGGUUCUGGCUCUGUCCCGUAUCAGCUAGGAAACCCAGGGCAAGCUACUUAAACUCUCAGAGGCUCAGCUUUUUCAUGAGCAAACAGGAAAACAGGGCUAAUGAUUAGUCCUUGGCUUAAAAUACAUACCGCGUGUGAAAUUGCAGGUAUAUAAUAGAUUCACUAAAUGAGAGGGCGAGUUAUCAACACUUACUCUCCAAUGCGUCAUCACCCCCAACACUCCUGUGUAUUUCCUGCAAAUAAGGAUCUUCUCCUACAUGGUCAGUCCGAACAACCUUCAGUCACAACUGAGAAGGUCACAUGGUGCAUCACUGCCGCUCAGUCUCCCCAAGCCCAGUGAUUUCUUCACAGUUCUCCUGCCGCCAGCUGUCUCUCCUGAGUCCUGAGCACCACAUCUCUGGACCGUCUGGAGCCUCCCCUCCCUUGGCUUACUGCUCCCACCACCCUCUCUCUCCACCUUGCAAGAGACACUCUCCCUCAUCCUGGGUCAUCACCCUCUUUAGAGGCGCCGCCUGGCCACGAGGUUGGAUAUGGGGGGUGGGCAGGAUCUUGGCCUUACUUGAUGCAGUGCACACCUCCAACAGGCAUCAGAUGGAGUGCAGCCGGGAGCAAGAUUCUCAUAGCAAUUACAAAGAUUCACAAGAAAAUGUGCCCUCCACUACACAGCUGUAAUUUACAUGCUUUCAAACUUGAUAUGGAAUGACUGUGGUUUCCCCUGAAAGAAGCAUCACUGAUCUCUGCACAGGAGAAACAAGGAUCUUGCUCUGUCACCUAGGCUGGAGUGCAAUGGCACACUCACGGCUCACUGCAGCGUCAAACUCCCAGGCUCAAGUGUUCCUCCUACCUCAGCCUCCUGAGUAGCUAGGACCACAGCACAGGCCCAGACACAAAGCAGAUGUGCAGUGGAGUGUGAAAGAGGCAGCCAACUCACUGGGGAGCUUCAGAGGGAGAUGGCCCAAAUUGCUGGGGCCUAAGAAUCUCCCGGAAUGAAGGAACAGUAGAAAGAACUGGAAGCCAAAUAUGGUGAUAGAGACUCUCAUCAAGGACACUGAGUAAACCAGAAACCUGCUUGGGCUCACGUUCCUUGUCUCUUCUUCUCAGAUCCAGGAAAGGAGCUGUCCAGGACAAUGAGGAUAGGCUGAGGAAAGACAGGCCACGGCCUUGCCUCUGUGCCAGCUCUCAUGGGCCAGGCAGAGUAUCCCAGGACAACUGCCUCCACAACCAGCUCCAUCCUUCAUCAGCAAUUCAGUACCUGAUUAACAAAUCUGUACCCCAGGAGGUUAUGCCAAGUCCAACUUCUUCCAGAGACCACAACAAUAAAUCCAAGCCACUGCUAAUGUCAUUUAUAAGCUGUGGGAUUAAAACAGAGAAGCAAUCAAUUAAUUAAAAUUAGCUCUUUAUUGAAACUAUAAGCAUCUUGCUUCCUAAGAUUCUAGACCAAAUAAGUGACCGCCAAUUCUACUCUUAUAGAAUGAAAGAGUUUGCCAUUUUUAAUGUAAUGAAAUUUUUUCACUCUGAAAUAAGAUUAAUUCAAAA